GUACACACCGCCCGUCACACCAUGGAGCCGGAAAUGCCCGAAGUCUGUGACUCAACCGAGAGGGAGAGCAGCCGAAGGUGGAGCUGGUAACUGGGGUGAAGUCGUAACAAGGUACC
RNAcentral lists this ribosomal RNA (116 nucleotides) under uncultured bacterium. RNAcentral's name for it is "partial 16S ribosomal RNA". It matches the Rfam family "Bacterial small subunit ribosomal RNA", at positions 1383 to 1500 of the family's 1533-position model. The record is from RNAcentral.